CUUUAGCCAAACAAGUAUUAAAGGUCCUGCCUGCCCAGUGAUAAACUUAAACGGCCGCGGUAUUCUAACCGUGCAAAGGUAGCGUAAUCACUUGUCUUCUAAAUAAAGACCAGUAUGAACGGCUAAAUGAGGACACCCCUGUCUCUUACAACAAAUCAGUGAAACUGAUCCCCCAGUACAAAAGCUGGGAUAACAACAUAAGACGAGAAGACCCUGUGGAGCUUUAAAUUAAUAUUACAAGCAACAUGUUGCACCUAAUAGAACAUUUUAAGUUGGGGCGACUUUGGAACAAAACAAAACUUCCAAGAACAGAACCACAAAUUCAAACAAGGCGAACAGGCCGAAAUAACGACCCAGUAAUACUGAUCAACGAACCAAGUUACCCCAGGGAUAACAGCGCUAUCUUCUUCAAGAGCCCAUAUCGACAAGAAGGUUUACGACCUCGAUGUUGGAUCAGGACACCCAAACGGUGCAGCCGCUGUUAAAGGUUCGUUUGUUCAACGAUUAAUGUCCUACGUGAUCUGAGUUCAGACCGGAGCAAUCC
RNAcentral lists this ribosomal RNA (544 nucleotides) under Sepsina angolensis. RNAcentral's name for it is "partial 16S ribosomal RNA". It matches the Rfam family "Bacterial large subunit ribosomal RNA", at positions 1820 to 2627 of the family's 2925-position model. The record is from RNAcentral. Lineage: Eukaryota; Metazoa; Chordata; Lepidosauria; Squamata; Scincidae.